AUGAACGCUGGCGGCGUGCUUAACACAUGCAAGUCGAACGAAGCAUUUACGACAGAUUUCUUCGGAUUGAAGUGUUUAUGACUGAGUGGCGGACGGGUGAGUAACGCGUGGGUAACCUGCCUUGUACUGGGGGAUAGCAGCUGGAAACGGCUGGUAAUACCGCAUAAGCGCACAAUGUUGCAUGACAUAGUGUGAAAAACUCCGGUGGUAUAAGAUGGACCCGCGUCUGAUUAGCUAGUUGGCAGGGUAACGGCCUACCAAGGCGACGAUCAGUAGCCGACCUGAGAGGGUGACCGGCCACAUUGGGACUGAGACACGGCCCAGACUCCUACGGGAGGCAGCAGUGGGGAAUAUUGCACAAUGGAGGAAACUCUGAUGCAGCGACGCCGCGUGAGUGAAGAAGUAUUUCGGUAUGUAAAGCUCUAUCAGCAGGGAAGAUAAUGACGGUACCUGACUAAGAAGCACCGGCUAAAUACGUG
Molecule: ribosomal RNA, 479 nt
Filed under: uncultured bacterium
Lineage: Bacteria
Description: bacterial SSU rRNA
Rfam family: Bacterial small subunit ribosomal RNA
Source: RNAcentral